GGGUGACAGGGAGGCAAAGGGAGGUGAAGUAAAUCCCCCCCAGCUGUUCCACUUCUGGAUGAAUCUCUACCAGCUUUGGACAUGGAGAGUCUGAAAUCUUUUUUUUUUUUUUUUCUAAAAAACUCAGAGAGAUGGAUAAGAUCAGCUUCACAAACACUCACCACAGUCAGGAGCUGCGCAGGCCGUACUCCUGAUGUUCAGUCCGUCACACGGGGCUCCGCCGUACAGGCUGGGCUGCAGAACCCGUCUGGUGGAGCUUUGCUGGCCGGUACCACAGCUGGCCGAGCACGGACUCCAUGGCGACCAGCUGGACCACUGGCAGGCCACUGGACGAGGGCAGAGCAAGGCGGGUCAGAGCAACUUCACGCAGUAAGCAGCUGUUGGUGUUACAGACGGUCUGCUGUUUGAGUGGUCCAACACACGCCGCCCCACCAGGCUCUGCUUCUUGAAGGAUCGUCUUGUUCCGCGUUGACACCCCUCCGCCACACGUG
Long non-coding RNA from Gambusia affinis (western mosquitofish), 491 nucleotides. RefSeq lists it as uncharacterized. The transcript has 3 exons. The record is from RefSeq and is a predicted model, not a curated record. NCBI's taxonomy places the organism in Eukaryota, Metazoa, Chordata, Actinopteri, Cyprinodontiformes, Poeciliidae.